AGGCCAAGGAAGUUUGAGGCA
RNAcentral lists this non-coding RNA (21 nucleotides) under Arabidopsis thaliana (thale cress). Lineage: Eukaryota; Viridiplantae; Streptophyta; Magnoliopsida; Brassicales; Brassicaceae. The record is from RNAcentral. RNAcentral also lists the same sequence under 1 other name.